AAAAAGGCAAACCCUGGAUUUCUGUGUCCAAUUUUGAUUAAGUUCGUCUUAUAUGAAAAUUUUUAUAAUUCCUAUUUUUAUUAUUGUUAGAUGAUAAAACAUGAUUAAUAUUUUAUGCAUGACUUGUCUUUUUAAUUUUUUUCAUAAUUUUUUCAAAUAAGACGGACGGUCAAACGUUGGGCACGGAAACCAGGGUUUGUCUUUUU
Non-coding RNA from Oryza nivara, 206 nucleotides. The record is from Rfam. Lineage: Eukaryota; Viridiplantae; Streptophyta; Magnoliopsida; Poales; Poaceae.